This 415-nucleotide ribosomal RNA is filed under the name uncultured crenarchaeote. RNAcentral describes it as "partial 16S ribosomal RNA". It matches the Rfam family "Archaeal small subunit ribosomal RNA", at positions 330 to 747 of the family's 1478-position model. The record is from RNAcentral. Lineage: Archaea; Thermoproteati; Thermoproteota.
GUGCACCAGUCGCGAAAACUCCGCAAUACGCGAAAGCGUGACGGGGCCAUCCCGAGUGCCGUCCGCUGAGGAUGGCUUUUCCCCAGUGUAGACAGCUGGGGGAAUAAGGAGAGGGCAAGUCUGGUGUCAGCCGCCGCGGUAAUACCAGCUCUUCGAGUGGUAGGGAUGUUUAUUGGGCCUGAAGCAUCCGUAGCCGGCUGGACAAGUUCUCCGUUAAAUCCAGCGAUUUAAUCGUUGGAUUGCGGGGGAUACUGUUCGGCUUGGGUGCGAGAGAGGCCGACGGUAUUCUUGGGGUAGGGGUAAAAUCCUAUAAUCCCGAGAGGACCACCAGUGGCGAAGGCUGUCGGCGAGAACGCGCCCGACGGUGAGGGAUGAAAGCUGGGGGAGCGAACCGGAUUAGAUACCCGCGUAGUCC